Molecule: non-coding RNA, 72 nt
Organism: Anisakis simplex (herring worm)
Lineage: Eukaryota; Metazoa; Nematoda; Chromadorea; Rhabditida; Anisakidae
Source: Rfam
GGGGGUUUAGCUCAGGGGUAGAGCGCUCGCUUUGCAUGCGAGAAGUCGGGGGUUCGAAUCCCCCAUCCUCCA